AGUGUUUCUGCUUAGCUAGUGCAUAGUGCUUGUCUGUGUUUGUGCGACGCGAGUUAUCUUUGCCUUUUUCACCCUCCUUUUUCCACACUCUCAGCAGUAAUGCCCUCUCCAGCCCUCAAUCCAUCACUGUCCCGCUGAUCAAUAAUCAAUCUGCAGGGGCCGAGGCCAGUGGCCCAGCGCCAUCCGUCUCCAUCGGCGAACAUGGGGGCGAAAGGCGGCGAGUGUGGGAGAAAGAGAUGGGAGAGGAGGAGACAGAGUUCAAUUCAUCCCCAAUCUGCGGUCAAGUCUGCUCUGCUGAGAACCUGACCGCUGAUCGGCGAUUGUCCAAGAAAUUCAAAAGGAGACUUAAUGAAGAUGCUGCAUUAAAUGUAUGUAGGUAAAUAAGAAGAAGAAGAAGAAUCAAAGAAUGGCAUGACAAAUGUAGGAGUAGACAUCCUUGAAUAAUUCCUGCAGCUGUUUGGACUGGUACAGUACGUACAUUAUUUUUUAGGCAAGACUUCCCUCUACUGGAGCUUGCAUGCAACUUCUUAAAGAUGCUCCAUUAAAAUAAUGCUAUUCACCUUUUGAGUGAUUGGAUUGGAUUUUCCAUGGUUGAUGAAGAAAGCAGUUUAGAAGACUUUAGAUCAUAAUAAACCCAUGCUAAUUAUUCAUGAUAUAUGGACUGUAGUUGUAAAAGGCAGUACGGUGUCCUAGUGGUUCACACGUCUGCCUCAUACUUCAGGCCUUCCUUUAUGGAGUUUGUGCAUGUGAGUUUUUUUUUGUGUAACUAAAUUGUCCAUGAGAGUAUGAAUGCUUGUUUGUCCCUAGGCGCCCUAUGAUUGACCGCCGACCAGUCCAGGGUGUACCCCGCAUCUCGCCCAAAGUCAGCUGGGAUAGGCUCCAGCUCACCCGUAACCUUAAUGAGGAUAAGCACUACAGAAAAUAGUUGGAUGGAUGUAGCGGUCAGUAUUGUUA
Phyllopteryx taeniolatus (common seadragon) is the source of this 954-nucleotide long non-coding RNA. RefSeq lists it as uncharacterized. The record is from RefSeq and is a predicted model, not a curated record. Lineage: Eukaryota; Metazoa; Chordata; Actinopteri; Syngnathiformes; Syngnathidae. The transcript is spliced from 3 exons.